CCGAGCCCAAAUUCCGAAAACGCCACUGGUAUCGCCCAAAUUCUUCAUAGGAUGUGGGUUCGGAGUUUGAAUCGAACUGGUAGAUGCAACAGCUCCGAGUAUUCAGUCCUCCCUCUUCUACAAGCGGAUUCCGAUUCUUCAUUGGAUGUGGGUUCGGAGUUUGAAUCGAACUGGUCGCGCUCGUCUUCCUCGUCCAAGAUCGAGAGGUCGGGGAGGACUUCUGCGAAUCAGCUCUCGCGACGGAGGACAGGAGAGGAGAGGCGACGGCUUGAGAACUCAUCCACCUCUCUCCGGUUAUGACCAGGCAACCACGAGCGGUGCCUCUGCCGAUAUAGUCCUUCCCCUUCUUUUUUUUUUGCGGCGGAGCUCCUCCUCCUUCGACUACCACAAUCAGACGCCGCCCUGCCGGUCCUCACCGACGACCAUGCCAGCACCAGAUCCGCCGCCACCAGGUUAGCCUAGCCCCUCUUGUUCUUGUACUCACCACCAUUGAUGUUCUUCAUGCUGACCUCGUGAUUAACUUGAUGUCCCAGAUCCACAAACAACAAAGCGCAUCACGUAAUGACAUCAGGGUACCAAGAUCUGUAGCGGUAGCGUGUUCAACCUCAGCAAGUUCUUGAAGAAUCUCCUUGUUGGAGGAAGUAGCUCGAACAGUUGCAGGUAUGCAAGAAAAAACAUUCUUGUUGAACUUGCAACCGGAGCAGAUAGAAGAAGCUCACGGCUUGAGUAGGUGGUCAGGGAGUAGAUGCUGGUGAAGUGGUGAUUCCCUAGGCUGAGCUCAUAGAGGUUGGAGGCGAACCGUGCUGGAGUGGGAGCAGGGGCUUGGGGUCGGCAGCGACGGGGUCGUCCG
Lolium rigidum is the source of this 850-nucleotide long non-coding RNA. RefSeq lists it as uncharacterized. NCBI's taxonomy places the organism in Eukaryota, Viridiplantae, Streptophyta, Magnoliopsida, Poales, Poaceae. The record is from RefSeq and is a predicted model, not a curated record. The transcript has 3 exons.